UGUGCGUUGUCCUGUAACGGCAGCAGUCAGUACACUAUCCAUCAGCUCAGCCAAUGGAAAUAGCAGUGGUGACUCUUGGACAACACCGCAGCAGCACAAGCUCCUAUCUGGUCCAGUGACGUGACACAUUAUGGACACAAGAGAUUCUGC
This is a long non-coding RNA of Mobula hypostoma (lesser devil ray), 150 nucleotides long. RefSeq lists it as uncharacterized. Lineage: Eukaryota; Metazoa; Chordata; Chondrichthyes; Myliobatiformes; Myliobatidae. The record is from RefSeq and is a predicted model, not a curated record. The transcript has 3 exons.